This 2893-nucleotide ribosomal RNA is filed under the name Escherichia coli. RNAcentral's name for it is "bacterial LSU rRNA". It matches the Rfam family "Bacterial large subunit ribosomal RNA". Lineage: Bacteria; Pseudomonadati; Pseudomonadota; Gammaproteobacteria; Enterobacterales; Enterobacteriaceae. The record is from RNAcentral.
ACUAAGCGUACACGGUGGAUGCCCUGGCAGUCAGAGGCGAUGAAGGACGUGCUAAUCUGCGAUAAGCGUCGGUAAGGUGAUAUGAACCGUUAUAACCGGCGAUUUCCGAAUGGGGAAACCCAGUGUGAUUCGUCACACUAUCAUUAACUGAAUCCAUAGGUUAAUGAGGCGAACCGGGGGAACUGAAACAUCUAAGUACCCCGAGGAAAAGAAAUCAACCGAGAUUCCCCCAGUAGCGGCGAGCGAACGGGGAGCAGCCCAGAGCCUGAAUCAGUGUGUGUGUUAGUGGAAGCGUCUGGAAAGGCGCGCGAUACAGGGUGACAGCCCCGUACACAAAAAUGCACAUACUGUGAGCUCGAUGAGUAGGGCGGGACACGUGGUAUCCUGUCUGAAUAUGGGGGGACCAUCCUCCAAGGCUAAAUACUCCUGACUGACCGAUAGUGAACCAGUACCGUGAGGGAAAGGCGAAAAGAACCCCGGCGAGGGGAGUGAAAAAGAACCUGAAACCGUGUACGUACAAGCAGUGGGAGCACGCUUAGGCGUGUGACUGCGUACCUUUUGUAUAAUGGGUCAGCGACUUAUAUUCUGUAGCAAGGUUAACCGAAUAGGGGAGCCGAAGGGAAACCGAGUCUUAACUGGGCGUUAAGUUGCAGGGUAUAGACCCGAAACCCGGUGAUCUAGCCAUGGGCAGGUUGAAGGUUGGGUAACACUAACUGGAGGACCGAACCGACUAAUGUUGAAAAAUUAGCGGAUGACUUGUGGCUGGGGGUGAAAGGCCAAUCAAACCGGGAGAUAGCUGGUUCUCCCCGAAAGCUAUUUAGGUAGCGCCUCGUGAAUUCAUCUCCGGGGGUAGAGCACUGUUUCGGCAAGGGGGUCAUCCCGACUUACCAACCCGAUGCAAACUGCGAAUACCGGAGAAUGUUAUCACGGGAGACACACGGCGGGUGCUAACGUCCGUCGUGAAGAGGGAAACAACCCAGACCGCCAGCUAAGGUCCCAAAGUCAUGGUUAAGUGGGAAACGAUGUGGGAAGGCCCAGACAGCCAGGAUGUUGGCUUAGAAGCAGCCAUCAUUUAAAGAAAGCGUAAUAGCUCACUGGUCGAGUCGGCCUGCGCGGAAGAUGUAACGGGGCUAAACCAUGCACCGAAGCUGCGGCAGCGACGCUUAUGCGUUGUUGGGUAGGGGAGCGUUCUGUAAGCCUGUGAAGGUGUGCUGUGAGGCAUGCUGGAGGUAUCAGAAGUGCGAAUGCUGACAUAAGUAACGAUAAAGCGGGUGAAAAGCCCGCUCGCCGGAAGACCAAGGGUUCCUGUCCAACGUUAAUCGGGGCAGGGUGAGUCGACCCCUAAGGCGAGGCCGAAAGGCGUAGUCGAUGGGAAACAGGUUAAUAUUCCUGUACUUGGUGUUACUGCGAAGGGGGGACGGAGAAGGCUAUGUUGGCCGGGCGACGGUUGUCCCGGUUUAAGCGUGUAGGCUGGUUUUCCAGGCAAAUCCGGAAAAUCAAGGCUGAGGCGUGAUGACGAGGCACUACGGUGCUGAAGCAACAAAUGCCCUGCUUCCAGGAAAAGCCUCUAAGCAUCAGGUAACAUCAAAUCGUACCCCAAACCGACACAGGUGGUCAGGUAGAGAAUACCAAGGCGCUUGAGAGAACUCGGGUGAAGGAACUAGGCAAAAUGGUGCCGUAACUUCGGGAGAAGGCACGCUGAUAUGUAGGUGAAGCGACUUGCUCGUGGAGCUGAAAUCAGUCGAAGAUACCAGCUGGCUGCAACUGUUUAUUAAAAACACAGCACUGUGCAAACACGAAAGUGGACGUAUACGGUGUGACGCCUGCCCGGUGCCGGAAGGUUAAUUGAUGGGGUCAGCGCAAGCGAAGCUCUUGAUCGAAGCCCCGGUAAACGGCGGCCGUAACUAUAACGGUCCUAAGGUAGCGAAAUUCCUUGUCGGGUAAGUUCCGACCUGCACGAAUGGCGUAAUGAUGGCCAGGCUGUCUCCACCCGAGACUCAGUGAAAUUGAACUCGCUGUGAAGAUGCAGUGUACCCGCGGCAAGACGGAAAGACCCCGUGAACCUUUACUAUAGCUUGACACUGAACAUUGAGCCUUGAUGUGUAGGAUAGGUGGGAGGCUUAGAAGUGUGGACGCCAGUCUGCAUGGAGCCGACCUUGAAAUACCACCCUUUAAUGUUUGAUGUUCUAACGUUGACCCGUAAUCCGGGUUGCGGACAGUGUCUGGUGGGUAGUUUGACUGGGGCGGUCUCCUCCUAAAGAGUAACGGAGGAGCACGAAGGUUGGCUAAUCCUGGUCGGACAUCAGGAGGUUAGUGCAAUGGCAUAAGCCAGCUUGACUGCGAGCGUGACGGCGCGAGCAGGUGCGAAAGCAGGUCAUAGUGAUCCGGUGGUUCUGAAUGGAAGGGCCAUCGCUCAACGGAUAAAAGGUACUCCGGGGAUAACAGGCUGAUACCGCCCAAGAGUUCAUAUCGACGGCGGUGUUUGGCACCUCGAUGUCGGCUCAUCACAUCCUGGGGCUGAAGUAGGUCCCAAGGGUAUGGCUGUUCGCCAUUUAAAGUGGUACGCGAGCUGGGUUUAGAACGUCGUGAGACAGUUCGGUCCCUAUCUGCCGUGGGCGCUGGAGAACUGAGGGGGGCUGCUCCUAGUACGAGAGGACCGGAGUGGACGCAUCACUGGUGUUCGGGUUGUCAUGCCAAUGGCACUGCCCGGUAGCUAAAUGCGGAAGAGAUAAGUGCUGAAAGCAUCUAAGCACGAAACUUGCCCCGAGAUGAGUUCUCCCUGACCCUUUAAGGGUCCUGAAGGAACGUUGAAGACGACGACGUUGAUAGGCCGGGUGUGUAAGCGCAGCGAUGCGUUGAGCUAACCGGUACUAAUGAACCGUGAGGCUUAACC